Maniola jurtina (meadow brown) is the source of this 151-nucleotide long non-coding RNA. RefSeq lists it as uncharacterized. Lineage: Eukaryota; Metazoa; Arthropoda; Insecta; Lepidoptera; Nymphalidae. The transcript has 3 exons. The record is from RefSeq and is a predicted model, not a curated record.
CACCGCUGUUUUUCUCGGAAUAACGUUAGAUGCUAAACUCCAAUGGGGCCCUCAUAUAAAUAAUUUAUCGAACAGACUUAAUUCUGCUGCAUAUGCGGUUAAAAAGAUUCGCCAGUUGACAGACAUAGAAACGGCGAGAAUGGUAUAUUUU